This 580-nucleotide ribosomal RNA is filed under the name Candida albicans. RNAcentral describes it as "partial large subunit ribosomal RNA". It matches the Rfam family "Eukaryotic large subunit ribosomal RNA", at positions 66 to 661 of the family's 3401-position model. The record is from RNAcentral. Lineage: Eukaryota; Fungi; Ascomycota; Pichiomycetes; Serinales; Debaryomycetaceae.
CCAAAGGGAUGCCUCAGUAGCGGCGAGUGAAGCGGCAAAAGCUCAAAUUUGAAAUCUGGCGUCUUUGGCGUCCGAGUUGUAAUUUGAAGAAGGUAUCUUUGGGCCCGGCUCUUGUCUAUGUUCCUUGGAACAGGACGUCACAGAGGGUGAGAAUCCCGUGCGAUGAGAUGACCCGGGUCUGUGUAAAGUUCCUUCGACGAGUCGAGUUGUUUGGGAAUGCAGCUCUAAGUGGGUGGUAAAUUCCAUCUAAAGCUAAAUAUUGGCGAGAGACCGAUAGCGAACAAGUACAGUGAUGGAAAGAUGAAAAGAACUUUGAAAAGAGAGUGAAAAAGUACGUGAAAUUGUUGAAAGGGAAGGGCUUGAGAUCAGACUUGGUAUUUUGCAUGCUGCUCUCUCGGGGGCGGCCGCUGCGGUUUACCGGGCCAGCAUCGGUUUGGAGCGGCAGGAUAAUGGCGGAGGAAUGUGGCACGGCUUCUGCUGUGUGUUAUAGCCUCUGACGAUACUGCCAGCCUAGACCGAGGACUGCGGUUUUUACCUAGGAUGUUGGCAUAAUGAUCUUAAGUCGCCCGUCUUGACCACA